RNAcentral lists this ribosomal RNA (253 nucleotides) under uncultured bacterium. RNAcentral's name for it is "partial 16S ribosomal RNA". It matches the Rfam family "Bacterial small subunit ribosomal RNA", at positions 524 to 776 of the family's 1533-position model. The record is from RNAcentral.
UACGUAGGUGGCAAGCGUUGUCCGGAAUUAUUGGGCGUAAAGCGCGCGCAGGCGGUCCUUUAAGUCUGAUGUGAAAGCCCACGGCUCAACCGUGGAGGGUCAUUGGAAACUGGGGGACUUGAGUACAGAAGAGAAGAGUGGAAUUCCACGUGUAGCGGUGAAAUGCGCAGAGAUGUGGAGGAACACCAGUGGCGAAGGCGACUCUUUGGUCUGUAACUGACGCUGAGGCGCGAAAGCGUGGGGAGCAAACAGG